GUUAAAUCUCGUAGUAAUCAAUAUAGCAGAAGAAUAAUGAAGAGUACAUACUACAAAAACUGUGCAAUUUGUAGCAAGAUUAAUUUUUGUUUAACAGCUGUUUUUAUUACAUUUUAUUUCGUAUUAUUACUACCAAAUACUGCUACCGUUUGUUAAUGUUAUGCACAUGGUUAUCUUGUACUUGCAAGUAAAUGUAACAUUUAAAAAAAAAAAUAAUGAAAAAAUAAGUCAUUUAGGCUAUUUGAUAAUAACAUGCUAAAUGAACAUGUUUUGCUUUUUAAUUCUCCUUCACUCAGUCUUUGUAUAAUGUAUAUUUUUAGACGAGCUGAUCGCCAACCAGGAGAUCAGAAUGAUCGCAUCUGCUCCUGCCACUUUAAGGAUGGUAAGAAGGAGGGGGACCCUGCAUAUUUUGCAUGGAAUGAAGGAAAGGCCAUGGAUUUCUCUGAUCCUGAAUUUACAAAAAGGAGGAAAAAACUCAAAAGUGAGGAGUCCCUGUCAUCUUAAGAUGGACCAGUUGCAGAUUCCACAAGCACCAAAAUGUCAAUAUCAAGAAAAAUUGAUAUCAGAGCACAACUACUCAGCAUCCUGCACAUUUAACUGUACUCAAGAAAUGCAGCGCCUCUCAACAGAAAUACAAACUGGAAAAGGAAUUGCUUGCCCUAAAAAUAGAGUCUAGUAAAAGGAAGCCAAUAUCAAUCCACGAUAUUAAAUACAACGAAGAGAAGUGUUAGGUAUCUGAUCAGCAGGGGCAUUUUCUCUAUAUAAGAAGAAAAUGGAGACUCCCUACCCACCUGAUGUAUUUUGUCGGACAGUUUUCUGUACAUUGCAGUCACCAAUAUAUCCAAAUAUCAUCACCGGCCCAGACGUCAUUCACUCCUUUGAAUUGUGCUGGUAGCAGUAAGGUGUCAUCAUUUGAGAUGGUCACAGUAUCCAAUACACUGAAGUCACAGGACUCAAAUUUCAUACAUGUUCACAGGGUCUCUGCCAAAAUCUUUUGAGGAUUUUUCCUCUGCUAGAGCAUCCAUGGAUGCAAUUGAAACAACCCAGGACAUCCCAACACAUAUGGAUAAUCAGGCCAUGGCCUACAGUACAUGUAUGUACAAAAGUUGCCAUACUUUUAAAGCAGUAACUUGCAUGCUUCCAAAUGGUGCACUUACAUUUUGCUCCAUGCUGUACCCAGGUUCUACUUCUGAUGUAGCUAUUGUACGUCACAGCCAAGUUUUACGAAAGUUCAAAGCUGGAGACCUUAUUUUGGUGGUCAAAGGUUUCACCAUUCAUGACCAGUUGCCCCAGGGUGUCUGCUUAAUUAUAAAAGCUCUUUUAUCGACACGAGGCCAGUUUACCAUACAAGAAGCAGCACUGUGUUACAAGAUUGCUAAAGCACUUAUUCAUGUGGAAAGAGCCAACGAGAGGAUAAAGAAUUACGAGAUUCUCCGUCACAUACCAUCUACUUACAGACCAAUCUCAACAAAAAUAUUUCAACUCUGUUCUUUGUCUUGUAAACUUGCAAGCUCCACUUUUGAAAGAAAUUACUUAAAGAUACAUGUACUUAUUAUAAAUUUGCAUUGGAGUGUGACAGUAUACACUAAACAGUGAAGAUAUUCAUACCAAAGUGCAAGGAAUAAGCAAAUUUUGAUUUGUUAUCAAUGUCAAUGGUUAUAUUUGUUAACUUUGUAGUAUGUUGUAAUACAUGUACUUCAGAAAAUGAAAAUCCCUUUUGUUAGCAUGGAUUUAUUACAAGAAUGUUUGGCAAUUCCAUUCUUCAUUUGACAAUAUAAUUUGGAAGAGGGUUUACUUAUAAUCUCUAGUUUAAAGUAUAUUUACCUUUAAAGCACAACUCAACAAAUUCAUGUUUUCAACAAUUUAUCUAUUAAGAAAGACAAAAAUGUUACAUUUUCACUUUGAGAAUAACAUCUUCAAUUCAUUAAUAAAAUGAUUCUAAAUUUU
This is a long non-coding RNA of Saccostrea cuccullata (small rock oyster), 1947 nucleotides long. RefSeq lists it as uncharacterized. The transcript is spliced from 6 exons. NCBI's taxonomy places the organism in Eukaryota, Metazoa, Mollusca, Bivalvia, Ostreida, Ostreidae. The record is from RefSeq and is a predicted model, not a curated record.